This 148-nucleotide small RNA is filed under the name Papio anubis (olive baboon). RNAcentral's name for it is "Metazoan signal recognition particle RNA (ENSPANG00000041652.1)". It matches the Rfam family "Metazoan signal recognition particle RNA". Rfam says of the family: The signal recognition particle (SRP) is a universally conserved ribonucleoprotein. It is involved in the co-translational targeting of proteins to membranes. Lineage: Eukaryota; Metazoa; Chordata; Mammalia; Primates; Cercopithecidae. The record is from Rfam by way of RNAcentral.
GCUGGGCGUGGUGGUGCACGCCUGUAAUCCCAGCUACUCGGGAGGCUGAGACAGGAGGAUCGCUUGAACCCGGGAGUUGGAGGUUGCAGUGAGCUGAGAUUGUGCCACUGCACUUCAGCCUGGGCGACAGAGCGAGACUCCGCCUCUA